AUUGAACGCUGGCGGCAGGCCUAACACAUGCAAGUCGAGCGGAUGAAGGGAGCUUGCUCCUGGAUUCAGCGGCGGACGGGUGAGUAAUGCCUAGGAAUCUGCCUGGUAGUGGGGGAUAACGUCCGGAAACGGGCGCUAAUACCGCAUACGUCCUGAGGGAGAAAGUGGGGGAUCUUCGGACCUCACGCUAUCAUAUGAGCCUAGGUCGGAUUAGCUAGUUGGUGGGGUAAAGGCCUACCAAGGCGACGAUCCGUAACUGGUCUGAGAGGAUGAUCAGUCACACUGGAACUGAGACACGGUCCAGACUCCUACGGGAGGCAGCAGUGGGGAAUAUUGGACAAUGGGCGAAAGCCUGAUACAGCCAUGCCGCGUGUGUGAAGAAGGUCUUCGGAUUGUAAAGCACUUUAAGUUGGGAGGAAGGGCAGUAAGUUAAUACCUUGCUGUUUUGACGUUACCAACAGAAUAAGCACCGGCUAACUUCGUG
Molecule: ribosomal RNA, 484 nt
Filed under: uncultured bacterium
Lineage: Bacteria
Description: partial 16S ribosomal RNA
Rfam family: Bacterial small subunit ribosomal RNA
Source: RNAcentral